This 874-nucleotide ribosomal RNA is filed under the name Vibrio neocaledonicus. RNAcentral describes it as "bacterial SSU rRNA". It matches the Rfam family "Bacterial small subunit ribosomal RNA", at positions 453 to 1341 of the family's 1533-position model. Lineage: Bacteria; Pseudomonadati; Pseudomonadota; Gammaproteobacteria; Vibrionales; Vibrionaceae. The record is from RNAcentral.
AGUUAUAGCUGCAUCAUUUGACGUAGCGACAGAAGAAGCACGGGCAAAUCCGUGCCAGCAGCGCGGUAAUACGGAGGGUGCGAGCGUUUAUGGGAAUACUGGGCGUAAGCGCAUGCAGGUGGUUGUUAAGUCAGAUGUGAAAGCCCGGGGCUCAACCUGGAAUAGCAUUGAAACGGCAGACUAGAGUACUGUAGAGGGGGGUAGAAUUCAGGUGUAGCGAUGAAUGCGUAGAGAUCUGAAGGAAUACCGGUGGCGAAGGCGGCCCCCUGGACAGAUACUGACACUCAGAUGCGACAGCGUGGGGAGCAAACAGGAUUAGAUACCUUGGUAGUCCACGCCGUAAACGAAGUCUACUUGGAGGUUGUGGCCAUGAGCCGUGGCUUUCGGAGCUAACGCGUUAAGUAGACCGCCUGGGGAGUACGGUCGCAAGAUUAAAACUCAAAUGAAUUGAUGGGGGCCCGCACAGCGGUGGAGCAUGUGGUUUAUUUCGAUGCAACGCGAAGAACCUACCUACUCUUGACAUCCAGAGAACUUUCCAGAGAAGGAUUGGUGCCUUCGGGAACUCUGAGACAGGUGCUGCAUGGCGUCGUCAGCUCGUGUUGUGAAAUGUUGGGUUAAGUCCCGCAACGAGCGCAACCCUAUCCUUGUUCGCCAGCGAGUAACGUCGGGAACUCCAGGGAGACAGCCGGUGAUAAACCGGAGGCAGGCGGGGAAGACGCCAGUUAAUCAUGACCCAUACGAGUAGGGAUACGCACCUGCUACAACGGCGCAUACAGAGGGCGGCCAAUUGCGAAAGUGAUCGAAUCCCAAAAAUUGUCUAGUAGUCAUGGAGGGAGUGGCCAACUUGACUCCUUGAAGUCGGAAUCGCUGUCAU